AGACUGGGACAAUAGCCCAAGAACCAGAGACUUAUAUUUCAAGGUUUCGGACAAUAUGUAUACAAUCAGAAUAUCGAUCACCAUGAUCAUCAAAGACGUCAACGACAACGCACCAAUGUUUAUAAAUCUUCCCUAUAGAGCAUCGCUCAAUGAGG
Physella acuta is the source of this 155-nucleotide long non-coding RNA. RefSeq lists it as uncharacterized. NCBI's taxonomy places the organism in Eukaryota, Metazoa, Mollusca, Gastropoda, Physidae. The record is from RefSeq and is a predicted model, not a curated record.